AGGAAUUGACGGGGACCCGCACAAGCGGUGGAGCAUGUGGUUUAAUUCGAAGCAACGCGAAGAACCUUACCAAAUCUUGACAUCCUUUGACAACUCUAGAGAUAGAGCCUUCCCCUUCGGGGGACAAAGUGACAGGUGGUGCAUGGUUGUCGUCAGCUCGUGUCGUGAGAUGUUGGGUUAAGUCCCGCAACGAGCGCAACCCUUAAGCUUAGUUGCCAUCAUUAAGUUGGGCACUCUAAGUUGACUGCCGGUGACAAACCGGAGGAAGGUGGGGAUGACGUCAAAUCAUCAUGCCCCUUAUGAUUUGGGCUACACACGUGCUACAAUGGACAAUACAAAGGGCAGCGAAACCGCGAGGUCAAGCAAAU
RNAcentral lists this ribosomal RNA (368 nucleotides) under Staphylococcus aureus. Its description in RNAcentral is "bacterial SSU rRNA". It matches the Rfam family "Bacterial small subunit ribosomal RNA", at positions 905 to 1272 of the family's 1533-position model. Lineage: Bacteria; Bacillati; Bacillota; Bacilli; Caryophanales; Staphylococcaceae. The record is from RNAcentral.